This 705-nucleotide long non-coding RNA is filed under the name Parus major (Great Tit). Its description in RNAcentral is "lncRNA (ENSPMJG00000002320.1)". The record is from RNAcentral. Lineage: Eukaryota; Metazoa; Chordata; Aves; Passeriformes; Paridae.
UGACCAUCAGUGACCAGAGUGACCAUCAGUGACCAUCAGUGACCAUCACUGACCAUCACUGACCACCACUGACCAUCACUGACCAUCACUGACCAGAGUGACCAUCACUGACCAUCACUGACCAUCACUGACCAUCACUGACCAUCAGUGACCAUCACUGACCAUCACUGACCAUCACUGACCAUCAGUGACCAUCACUGACCAUCACUGACCAUCACUGACCAUCAGUGACCAUCAGUGACCAGAGUGACCAUUACUGACCAUCAGUGACCAUCAGUGACCAUCACUGACCAUCACUGACCAUCACUGACCACCACUGACCAUCACUGACCAUCACUGACCAUCAGUGACCAUCAGUGACCAGAGUGACCACUGACCAUCACUGGCCAUUACUCUGGGCUGUACUGGGAGCACUGGGAUCCCUCAGAUCCCAGACUGGAGCGUCCCAGGUGUGUCCAGGUGUGUCCCCAGGUGUGUCCAGGUGUGUCCCAGGUGUGUCCCCAUGUCCCCCCAGGUGUCCCCAGCUGUCCCCAGGUGUUCCCAGGUGUGUCCAGGUGUGUCCCAGGUGUGUCCCCAUGUCCCCCCAGGUGUCCCCAGGUGUCUCAGGUGUAUCUCAGGUGUCCCCAGGUGUGUCCCAGGUGUCCCCAGGUGUAUCCAGGUGUCCCCAGGUGUGUCCCCAGGUGUAUCUCAGGUGUAUCCAGGUGU